Bacillus rossius redtenbacheri is the source of this 328-nucleotide long non-coding RNA. RefSeq lists it as uncharacterized. Lineage: Eukaryota; Metazoa; Arthropoda; Insecta; Phasmatodea; Bacillidae. The record is from RefSeq and is a predicted model, not a curated record. The transcript is spliced from 3 exons.
AUCUUUUUUCCUCGUGUGUGAAUUGUGUAUUGUCUGUAAUAAUACAAGUUUAGCUUUUGUUUUUGUGCUAAGGUGUUGUACGUUGUCAUGAUCGUGAUGCUACUGAGAAGGCAGUAGGUGACAGAGUCGCUGCAUGGCUAAAGCAUGCAAGGACAAGAUUCUCAAGGAGCAUUCAGAAAUCACGUUUACAUGAUGACACGUCUGCAGCAAGUGAAAGCAAGCUUACUUGAAAAUGUAAAUAUGAAAACGGUUAAAAAUUGUGCAUAUGAAUGUAUAUGUAAAUAUGUGACAAUAUAAAAAAACAAUAAAUUGCAACCUUACAACUUAA